This 1405-nucleotide long non-coding RNA is filed under the name Oryctolagus cuniculus (rabbit). RNAcentral's name for it is "lncRNA (ENSOCUG00000036894.1)". The record is from RNAcentral. Lineage: Eukaryota; Metazoa; Chordata; Mammalia; Lagomorpha; Leporidae.
UUGAGGAAUUAACCCAAGCCCAGUGCUAGGCCACGGAGAAGCAGGGGUUCAAGCCACAUUCAGACAGCUGCCAGGCACGACGCCACGCCGCUGCAGGCAGAAGCACUUCGCACACUCCUGUGAGACCCGGGCUUUCUCAGUGGUCAGCCCGUUGUACUGGGUCCUGCUUCCCCUAGGCUGGGUUCCCCUGGCCAGGCCCUUCACGGCCAGCAGACCCUGAGACAGACCCGAGCAGACCCGCUCUGGAUGGAUAGGGAUGGCACAGCCCCGUCGGUGCUGAGUUCCGGUGAUGCCAAACCAACAUGUUUAUAAAUGGUUGAUCCCCCUGAGACAUCCACAGUGCAGAGGGAAGGGCCUUGUGUGCUGUGAGACAAAAAUCAGAAAUUACCUAGAAAUUAAACUCUUCAAAUACAGAUCAGCUUUAUGGAGAAAAUUUCAAAAUUUGUCUAAAGAGCAGAAGAGAAUGCAUGAACAAGGCAGGGACGCAGUCUGUAAGAAGAAUUUUUACGUAGUCUGUAAGAAGAAUUUGUUACAGAGACGCCGAUUGCCCCAUGUUUUUCAAUAAACUGAACACAUUGCAAUCAGAAAUCUCAGCAUGAUUUCGGGUGAGAAUGAGAUACGGCAAAUCGAGCCCACAACGUACACAGAACAACAGCCACGGCAAUUUGCAAGAAUGAAAGCACCCAUGACAUGCGAAGGCUGCAAAACGAUAAUCAUCUAAAUACUCUAGCGCAGCCCAGCAAUCGAUGAUCCAGCCGUGGAAGAGAAUCAAAACCAGAAAAAGCCUCAGGAGGCAGCACAGCAUCGGGGCAGACGGAAUGUGUUAUGCAGCCAUGACGGCGGGAACCCUGGAUUGGUCCCCCGCUUCCACAGGUCAGAUCUAGGGACGGGGCUGCGGCUCAAAGGGCCCAGCAGCCUCCUGCCCACCUGGGAAGCGGAGAACUCGGGGCGGGGUGGGGGCGGGGCACCUGCUCAGGGGAGCCGGGCUGGGCUAACCUUCUGGCCACAGGGGACAGCCUGGGACAGGGCCACCCGAGCAGCUCCCUUCCCUCCAAGAGGCAAGUCAGAGAGCCCUGCGUGGGCCAGACGAUCUCUUCCCGUGGGUCCUGAGCCGGCGCCAUCAGAGGAUCCCAUGGGAGGCCGGAGGCUGGCGGGCAGCUUCUCCACCCACAGGCUCCGAGCUGGCAAACGAGGCAGCCCCACGGUCUCCUCUGGGGUGGGGGAGGCAGCCGGCCAUGAGGGGAGAAGUCACACGCCCCAGCUUGGGGAGCCCCAGCUGCCCCAAGGGCCACCUCCACGCUGCCCUCAUCAUAGCUUCCGACUCCCAGGACAAGGAGGUCCCUCAAAGAACACAGGCCCCAGGCCGGCACAAGAGGUCCAUUGCUCCCCAACCUGAAGGGCCCAC